RNAcentral lists this ribosomal RNA (406 nucleotides) under uncultured bacterium. Its description in RNAcentral is "partial 16S ribosomal RNA". It matches the Rfam family "Bacterial small subunit ribosomal RNA", at positions 30 to 526 of the family's 1533-position model. The record is from RNAcentral.
AUUGAACGCUGGCGGCAGGCCUAACACAUGCAAGUCGAACGAGUGGCGGACGGGUGAGUAAUGUCUGGGAAACUGCCUGAUGGAGGGGGAUAACUACUGGAAAAGGUCGCUAAUACCGCAUACCAUCGGAUGUGCCUAGACUGGAUUAGCUAGUAGGUGGGGUAAAGGCUCCCCUAGGCGACGAUCCCUAGCUGGUCUGAGAGGAUGACCAGCCACACUGGAACUGAGCCACGGUCCAGACUCCUACGGGAGGCAGCAGUGGGGAAUAUUGGACAAUGGGCGCAAGCCUGAUGGAGCCAUGCCGCGUGUAUGAAGAAGGCCUUCGGAUUGUAAAGUGCUUUCAUCGGGGAUGCGUUACCCGCAGAAGAAGCACCGGCUAACUCCGUGCCAGCAGCCGCGGUAAUAC